This 487-nucleotide ribosomal RNA is filed under the name uncultured bacterium. Its description in RNAcentral is "partial 16S ribosomal RNA". It matches the Rfam family "Bacterial small subunit ribosomal RNA", at positions 28 to 523 of the family's 1533-position model. The record is from RNAcentral.
GAUAAACGCUGGCGGCACACAUAAGACAUGCAAGUCGAACGGACUUAACUCAUUCUUUUAGAUUGAGAGCGGUUAGUGGCGGACUGGUGAGUAACACGUAAGCAACCUGCCUAUCAGAGGGGAAUAACAGUGAGAAAUCAUUGCUAAUACCGCAUAAGCUAGUAGCAUCGCAUGAUGUAGCUAGAAAAGGAGUAAUCCGCUGAUAGAUGGGCUUGCGUCUGAUUAGCUAGUUGGUGGGGCAACGGCCUACCAAGGCGACGAUCAGUAGCCGGACUGAGAGGUUGAACGGCCACAUUGGGACUGAGAUACGGCCCAGACUCUUACGGGAGGCAACAGUCGGGAAUAUUGCGCAAUGGAGGAAACUCUGACGCAGUGACGCCGCGUAUAGGAAGAAGGUUUUCGGAUUGUAAACUAUUGUCGUGAGGGAAGAAAUUGACAGUACCUCAGGAGGAAGCUCCGGCUAACUAUGUGCCAGCAGCCGCCGUAA